GAUGAACGCUGGCGGCGUGCCUAAUACAUGCAAGUCGAGCGAACAGACGAGGAGCUUGCUCCUCUGACGUUAGCGGCGGACGGGUGAGUAACACGUGGAUAACCUACCUAUAAGACUGGGAUAACUUCGGGAAACCGGAGCUAAUACCGGAUAAUAUAUUGAACCGCAUGGUUCAAUAGUGAAAGACGGUUUUGCUGUCACUUAUAGAUGGAUCCGCGCCGCAUUAGCUAGUUGGUAAGGUAACGGCUUACCAAGGCAACGAUGCGUAGCCGACCUGAGAGGGUGAACGGCCACACUGGAACGGAGACACGGUCCAGACUCCUACGGGAGGCAGCAGUAGGGAAUCUUCCGCAAUGGGCGAAAGCCUGACGGAGCAACGUCGCGUGAGUGAUGAAGGUCUUCGGAUCGUAAAACUCUGUUAUUAGGGAAGAACAAAUGUGUAAGUAACUAUGCACGUCUUGACGGUACCUAAUCAGAAAGCCACGGCUAACUACGUG
This 497-nucleotide ribosomal RNA is filed under the name uncultured bacterium. RNAcentral describes it as "partial 16S ribosomal RNA". It matches the Rfam family "Bacterial small subunit ribosomal RNA", at positions 28 to 507 of the family's 1533-position model. The record is from RNAcentral.